CAUACACGUCGAUCCAGAGCAUCCAAAACAUUCUCAAUGUGUGACAUGUCUGGUGAGUAUGUAGGCCAUGGUAGAACUGGGACAUUUUCAGCUUCCAGGAAUUGUGUACAGAUCCUUGUGACAUAGUGCCUGCAUUAUUAUGCUGAUAACAAGCUGAGUUUUAAAGAGAAUGCAGACUGUAUUUUUUUUUAAAGCAAGCCAACACCUGUUCUUAAUCAGGAAAUUAAAGGGGUUUGGGUUCAGCCAGGAUGUUCUGGAGAAGGUGUACAGCAGCUUGGUGGAGAGCAUCCUCAUGUUCAAUAUGACAGUCUGCUAUGGUAAGGAGCAAAAGCAAACUGACCAGAAUAGUACACACAGUCAGCAAAGUAAUUGGUCGACCACAGGCACACUUGAGCAUUCUAUUCCACAAGGCAACCAAACAGAAGACACUGGCUGUCGUUGGCGACCCCUCCCACCCUCUACACCCUCAGUUGGAGACCCUACCCACCCUCAUUUGGAGACCCCUCCCACCCUCUACACCCUCAGUUGGAGACCCCUCCCACCCUCUACACCCUCAGUUCAAGAGGCUUCCCUCGGGCCGGCUCUUCAGAAUGCCCAUGGCCAAGAAGAACAUGUUCAAACAUUCAUUCCUUCCUUGUGCUGUUGGACUACUAAAUACAAAAUUAAAGGUAUCGGAAUAUGUACUUAUCUAGUGCAGUUGGGACAGUGGUCAUUUGAGUGAAUGUAUUAAUGUCCUCAAUGUUGUUAGUGUAUGCAACAUGAUGGACUGACUGGUUUAAAUGUGUAUGAUGUGAGAAUGUAUGUGAUUAUUUUAAUGGAAGGUGAUGUCAAAGUUUUAUUCUAUUCUAAACACGAGGUGAUGGUUGAAAGGCACGACAAUGGAUCUCGUCACGGCAAUUUGAAAGCAGAAAUGCCAUUGUGUUCGUUAUCCGUAGCUUAUGCCUGCCCAUACCAUAACCCCACCUCCACCAUGGGGCACUGGGGUUCACUAAGUUGACAUCAGCAAACCGCUCGCCAUACGGUCUACGGUUGUGAGGCCGGUUGGGCAUAAUUCUUUAAAACAACGUUGGGGGCAGCUUAAGGUAGAGACAUGAACAUUAAAUUCUCUGGCAACAGCUCUGGUGGACAUUCCUGCAGUCAUCAUGCCCCCUCAAAGCAUCUGUGGUAUUGUGUUGUGACAAAACUGCACAUUUUACUGGCCUUUUUGUCCCCAGCACCUGUGUAAUGAUCAUGCUGUUGAAUCAGCUUCUUGGCCACACCUGACAGGUAGAUGGAUUAUCUUGGCAAAGUAGAAAUGCUCACUAACAGGAAUGUAAACAAAUCUGUGUACAAUAUUUCUGAGCAUAUGGAACAUAUUAUUUCAGCUCAUGAAACAUGGGACCAACACUUUUUACAUGUUGGGUUUAUUUUUGUUCAGGAGUACAAAUGUAGUUAAGUCAUAAGUUGCAUGGACUCUGUGCAAUAGUGUUUAACACUGACUACCUCAUCUCUGUACCCCACACCCAGAUAAUUGUAAGGCCCCUCAGUCAAGCAGUGAAUUUCAUACACAGAUUCAACCACAAAGACCAGGGAGAUUUUCCAAUUCCUCGCAAAGGGCACCUAUAUGUAUAAAAAAUGUAAAAAGCAGUCAUUUUGAGCACGGUGAAGUUAAUUACACUUUGGAUGGUGUAUCAAUACACUGUCACUACAAAGACACAGGUGUCCUUCAUAACUCAGAUGAAGGAAACUGCUCAGUGAUUUCACCAUGAGGCCAAAUGGUGACUUUAAAACGGUUAGUGUUUAAUGGAGCAACAGCGUUGUAGUUACUAACCCAACUGACAAGAGUGAAACGAAAGCCUGUACAGAAUUAGAAUAUUCCUUUUUGCAACAAGGCAAUAAAGUUAUACUGCAAUAAAUGUGGCAAAGAACAAGUGAAUUUAUGUUUGGGGCUAAUCCAAUACCUUACAGAGCAUCUCACGCCAUAUUUUCAAGGAUAGUGCUGGCUGCAUCAUGGUUAUGGGUAUGGCUUGUAAUAGUUGGGGAGUUAAGAUACAAAAAGUAAACGGAAUGGAGAUAAGCACAAGCAAAAUCCUAGAGGAAAACUUGGUUCAGUCUGCUUUCCACCAGACACUGGGAGAUUAACCUUUCAGCAGGACAAUAACCUAAAACACAAAGCCAAAUCUACACUGGAGUUGCUUACCAAGACAGUGAAUGUCCCUGAGUGGCUUAAGUAGUUGACUUAAAUCUGCUUGUAAGUUUAUGGGAAGACCUGAAAAUGGUUGUCUAACAAUGAUCAUCAACCAAUUUGACAGCACUUAAUAAAGAUUGUCAAAUGUUGGACAAUCCAGGUGUGGAAAACUUCCCAGAAAGACUCACAGCUGUAAUCGCUGCCAAAGGUGAUUCUAUCAUGUAUUUAUGUACUCAGGUGGUUGAAUAUUUAUCUAAUAUGUUUUUUUUUUUUUUCAAAUGUUAGAAUUUUUCUACUUUGACAGAGUAUUUUGUGUAGAUCUACACUAACAAAAUGUGGAAAAAGUCAAGUGUUUGUCGUAUGAUAUUUCUUAGAAAUAAAAUGUAUGACAAAGCAA
Oncorhynchus mykiss (rainbow trout) is the source of this 2564-nucleotide non-coding RNA. The record is from RefSeq and is a predicted model, not a curated record. Lineage: Eukaryota; Metazoa; Chordata; Actinopteri; Salmoniformes; Salmonidae.